RNAcentral lists this ribosomal RNA (476 nucleotides) under uncultured Eubacteriales bacterium. RNAcentral describes it as "bacterial SSU rRNA". It matches the Rfam family "Bacterial small subunit ribosomal RNA", at positions 28 to 505 of the family's 1533-position model. Lineage: Bacteria; Bacillati; Bacillota; Clostridia; Eubacteriales. The record is from RNAcentral.
GACGAACGCUGGCGGCGCGCCUAACACAUGCAAGUCGAGCGGGAAGCUUUUUAAGGAUUCUUCGGAUGAAUUAAAAAGUGGAGAGCGGCGGACGGGUGAGUAACGCGUGAGAAACCUGCCCUAUACAGGGGGAUAGCCAUUGGAAACGAUGAUUAAUACCCCAUAUGACCACAGUAUCGCAUGAUACAGCGGUGAAAACUCCGGUGGUAUAGGAUGGUCUCGCGUCUGAUUAGCUAGUUGGUGGGGUAAUGGCCUACCAAGGCGACGAUCAGUAGCCGGCCUGAGAGGGUGACCGGCCACACUGGAACUGAGACACGGUCCAGACUCCUACGGGAGGCAGCAGUGGGGAAUAUUGCACAAUGGGCGAAAGCCUGAUGCAGCGACGCCGCGUGAACGAUGAAGGCUUUCGAGUCGUAAAGUUCUGUUCUUGGGGAAGAUAACGACGGUACCCAAGGAGAAAGCACCGGCUAAAUACG